UGCGACGGUGCAGAACUCGUAAAUCGUCUACUAAUUAUACCUAUCCGUUUUUAGUAUCAAAAAAGUGUAUCGUCAAAAGCGAUCAUCAUUAAUGGUAUAACAUCAUUCUAGAUGAAUCAAAGAUAAAUUGCGAGUGGUGCGGCGGUUUGUGAUAAAUGAAUUAAAUCUCGUGUAAAAUGUCUCUGCAUUGUUGGGAUUGUUGGAUAAAUUUUGUUGUAGGAUGGGAUUUCAUAUUCCGUGACCCGGUCAGCCGGCCCGGUCGCUCGUGAAAUAAAGGUGAAAGCAGAUCGAACGAAAAGAUGAUCAAAAGCUGUGUAGUUCUUCGCACGUCGAACAAGUAUGGCCAGAGUAUAAUAAAUACCCUUCCACCCACGUUCUCCGUACAUAGUAGGUACAUAGCUUGUAUAUUUUUCCUUACUUUAUUUUAUCCAUUUAUUAAUUUUUUUCAUUUCAUGUUGGCACUGCAUAUUCACGCCUCGCAGUUCUCCGGACUUGUAAUUUUUUUCAAACAAUCACACUCAUACUGCAGUAUUGCAUCCGUACCGGGAGAUUUUCAGUUUUCCAACAAUCGAACAAUGCACGAUGAGGAACGAUGAUUACCUCGGCGCAUUGCACGCCCACACGAUAAUUAUUCGGUCCAGCGAACACCGAAGUUAUGAAGAACUCUUCCCCGCAUUGAUUCUACGUUGGUAAGGUAUAUUGUUCAUCAUCAUUGAUACAAUACCAUACAAUUAUUAAUAUAUUCACACAUCGCGUAUUUAUAAUAUGCGGCAUCUCGCAUGCGAUAGUGUAGCGAUACUUUUUAAUUAUCAAUGAUUUUCGUUCUUAUCCUUUUGUUUUUAAUACAUAUGUAUAUUUUUCUUCGAGCGUUUGUUCUAAUCGUGACUUUAUAUUAUUAUGUAUAAUAAAAUGCCCUUGGCAUAGUAACUCUUAAUUGGAAGUUGCCGUAUAUCAACGCAAUUGACAAAUUGUGUAUGUAUGAGAAUUUUUCCCCUAACAAUAAGUAUUACACCGUACAGUCGAACCAAUGAAGAAACACAGGAGCUCGUGUUCAACCACCACAUCACCGGCGUUGCGUAAUCUGCAAAAGUCCCCUCAAAUUAUACAUAUGUAUAUCUCCUAUGCAGGAUAUUAUGUCUGUAAACCUCGCACGAAAUUUGUCACCAUUAUAUGGGUGUUAAAAUUCAUUGUUCGUAGAGUCUCAAAAUAUAUUUAAAAAAAAUUCUAAUGAAAUUUUACCUGCGAUGUGUUUGAAAAAAUGUUGUGUUAUUUUUUUAUUAUUGUUCGUUUUUCUCUUACGCUCGACAUUGUGAGACGUGAAUCUAUGAAUGAUAUGAAUAAAUAGUUUUUCUACCGCAGAGUUAUCGGAAUAACACCGACAGGCUUCGACUGCAUUACGACAUUCCGUUAUCAUUGGUACGGUAAUUUAUCGAAAAAAAUGUUGUUCCCAGCUGCGGUGUGUUGAGAAAAAAAUUUGACAAGAUUCACGAAAUUAGUAAAAACGGCGUUAUUCUGGUUGACUGAUAUUACCAAGCUAUAAUCAGCUUGUGAAAAUGACGGGAAAUUAUGCGGAGGAAAUAUCACGUGGCUUCUAG
This 1595-nucleotide unclassified non-coding RNA is filed under the name Athalia rosae (coleseed sawfly). Its description in RNAcentral is "misc RNA ENSAEAG00005002641.1". Lineage: Eukaryota; Metazoa; Arthropoda; Insecta; Hymenoptera; Athaliidae. The record is from RNAcentral.